RNAcentral lists this ribosomal RNA (955 nucleotides) under Hallella multisaccharivorax. RNAcentral's name for it is "bacterial SSU rRNA". It matches the Rfam family "Bacterial small subunit ribosomal RNA", at positions 28 to 1039 of the family's 1533-position model. The record is from RNAcentral. Lineage: Bacteria; Pseudomonadati; Bacteroidota; Bacteroidia; Bacteroidales; Prevotellaceae.
GAUGAACGCUAGCUACAGGCCUAACACAUGCAAGUCGAGGGGAAACGAAGCGGGAGCUUGCUUCUGCUGUCGUCGACCGGCGCACGGGUGAGUAACGCGUAUCCAACCUGGCCUAAGGUAAGGGAUAAUCCGCAGAAAGUGGUUGAUACCUUAUGUGCUCCUAUGAGGCCAUCUGAAGAGGAGCAAAGAUUUAUCGCCUUAGGAUGGGGAUGCGUCUGAUUAGAUAGUUGGCGGGGCAACGGCCCACCAAGUCAUCGAUCAGUAGGGGUUUGAGAGGAAAGUCCCCCACAUUGGAACUGAGACACGGUCCAGACUCCUACGGGAGGCAGCUGACGGCCCUAUGGGUUGUAAACUGCUUUUAUGCGGGUAUAAAGGAGCAUACGUUAUGUUUUUGCAGUUACCGCAUGAAUAAGGACCGGCUAAUUCCGUGCCAGCAGCCGCGGUAAUACGGAAGGUUCCGGUGUAUCCGGAUUUAUUGGGUUUAAAGGGAGCGCAGGCUGUCAGAUAAGCGUGUUGUGAAAUGCGGUUGCUCAACAUCCGCACUGCAGCGCGAACUGUUUGACUUGAGUACGCACGACGUUGGUGGAAUUUGCCGUGUAGCGGUGAAAUGCUUAGAUAUGGCGAAGAACUCCGAUUGCGAAGGCAGCUGACGGGAGCGCUACUGACGCUCAUGCUCGAAAGUGCGGGUAUCGAACAGGAUUAGAUACCCUGGUAGUCCGCACGGUAAACGCUGGAUGCCCGCUAUAUGCCCUUUAGGGUAUGUGCAAGUGAAAACGUUAAGCAUCCCACCUGGGGAGUACGCCGGCAACGGUGAAACUCAAAGGAAUUGACGGGGGCCCGCACAAGCGGAGGAACAUGUGGUUUAAUUCGAUGAUACGCGAGGAACCUUACCCGGGCUUGAAUUGCUGAGGAAGGCUUCAGAGAUGGAGCUGCCCUUCGGGGCUUCAGUGAAGGU